UGUUGAGAGCCACAGCCGAAGGGGCCCCAGCAAACUUCCAGCUGCCAGCAAACUUCCAGCUGCCGGCUGAUGAUUGGCUCACAGCGGCCCCAGCAACAUCUAGCUGAUUGGCUCCUCAGCCCCAGCAACAUCUAGCUGAUUGGCUCCUCUGCGGUGAUGCUCAUUGGGCUGUUUCCCUGCCCUUUCAGACCACGGAGCUGCUCAUUGGGGGACUUUUUUGGCUCCGCCCACGUGACCCAGCCAAUCAGCCUCAAGAGCAGGAGGAUUGUGGGAGGUGGAGAGAAGCUGGUGGGAGAGAGAGAGGCUUGUGGAAAGCCCGUGGUGGCAGUUGAGGCUCUGAGGGUUUUUCCUGAGAGGCUGUUUUGUUUGGUGUGUGUGGUUCUAAAAAUAAAGUUAGUUUCUUUUGACAAGUGGCUCCUGAUUGUGCCCAGCCAGACUGCGGCACCUGUCUAUCAUUUCCCUGAGGCUAAGACUUGGGCCUCACUCUUCCUCUUAUCUCCUUCCACACCCAAUGUCUAUCUCACCUGACCUCUUUCCUCCUCCCCGGUAGCCACUUGAUUUUGUCUCUGACUCCCCAAAAAAGGGCCCACUGCACAAUCCAACCCCUCUCCAACCCAUUUUCCACACUGCAACCAGAAUCAUCUUCCAGAAAUUUUAGAUCUCAUCCCACAAUGCCUCUGAUCAGUCCUUCCAUAGCUUUUGUCGUCUUCAGAAUGGUGUCCAAAUGCCUCCCAUGAUCUCUAACCCCCCAAAACCUAUGCUGUG
This 765-nucleotide long non-coding RNA is filed under the name Marmota monax (woodchuck). The record is from RNAcentral. Lineage: Eukaryota; Metazoa; Chordata; Mammalia; Rodentia; Sciuridae.